GUGUCAGCAGCCGCGGUAAGACGAAGGGGGCUAGCGUUGUUCGGAAUUACUGGGCGUAAAGGGCGCGUAGGCGGUCUUGUCAGUCAGGCGUGAAAGCCCUGGGCUCAACCUGGGAGGUGCGCUUGAUACUGCAAGGCUUGAGUGCAGGAGAGGAUGGUGGAAUUCCCAGUGUAGAGGUGAAAUUCGUAGAUAUUGGGAAGAACACCGGUGGCGAAGGCGGCCAUCUGGACUGCAACUGACGCUGAGGCGCGAAAGCGUGGGGAGCAAACAGGAUUAGAAACCCCCGUAGUCC
Molecule: ribosomal RNA, 292 nt
Filed under: uncultured bacterium
Lineage: Bacteria
Description: partial 16S ribosomal RNA
Rfam family: Bacterial small subunit ribosomal RNA
Source: RNAcentral